Molecule: ribosomal RNA, 1155 nt
Filed under: Triticum aestivum (bread wheat)
Lineage: Eukaryota; Viridiplantae; Streptophyta; Magnoliopsida; Poales; Poaceae
Description: partial small subunit ribosomal RNA
Source: RNAcentral
AUGUCCACCAAGAGGGUUCUUUGCAAGUUCUUCAUGCAUGGUGCUUGCUUGAAAGGAGAGUAUUGUGAGUUCUCCCACGACUGGAGUGACCAAGCAAAUAAUGUUUGCACGUUUUACCAGAGAGGCUCAUGCUCUUAUGGUAACCGUUGCAGAUAUGACCAUGUCAAGGUUUCUCGUAACAACCCAGUGCCUCCACUACCAUCAUCAAGUACCGCAACACGUAAUUCCCCACUUCGCCCGCCACCAUCAUCAAGUACUGCGACACAUGUUGCAUCUACAUCUCCACAACUUUUAAGUUCUGGACGUCCUCUUCACUUGGGACACCAAACAAAUUCAAGCAACCAACGGCAACAGAUAUCUAUGGAUAAGCUGGCAGUUUCUGAAAGUAAGCCUGCAUGGAGGAAUGAGGUCCAACUUAACAGUGUAUCAGAGGAUGGGAUUGGCUGGUCAUCCAUUCAAACUGCGCAAAACCAAACUUCCAUGAAACUUGCUGAUAUGCCAAUUUGUUCUUUUGCUGCUGGUGGUAACUGCCCGUAUGGGGAAGAGUGUCCUCACAUGCAUGGGGAUUUGUGUGCGUUCUGUGGGAAAAUGUGCUUGCAUCCUUAUCGUCCUGAUGAGAGGCAGGAGCAUAUCAAGCUAUGUGAAAAGAACCACAAGCGUCUUGAGGCUUUGAAACGUAGCCAAGAAAUAGAAUGCAGUGUCUGCUUGGACCGUGUGCUCUCAAAGUCUACUGCUGCAGAAAGGAAAUUUGGACUAUUAUCUGAAUGUGAUCAUCCCUUCUGUAUUUCAUGCAUAAGAAAUUGGCGUGGCAACUCUCCUACAUCUGGUAUGGAUGUGAACUCAGCACUGAGAGCUUGCCCAAUAUGCCGCAAACUUUCGUACUAUGUCAUUCCAAGUGUUCUUUGGUACUUCUCGAAAGAGGAAAAGUUGGAGAUCACUGAAAACUACAAAGCAAAGCUCAAGUCAAUAGAUUGCAAGUACUUCGAUUUCGGAACGGGCACUUGCCCCUUCGGGACAAGCUGUUUCUACAAGCAUGCUUACAGAGAUGGCCGCUUGGAAGAAGUCGUAUUGCGACAUCUUGAUUGUGAUGAUGGAAGUACACUUAUUGCUAAGAACAUUAGGUUGUCAGACUUCCUCGGCCGGUUGCAUCUUUAG